UCCUGAUUGUGUGGGACUCUCAUCAGAUGCACACAUCUAUCUGUCUAUCUAUACAGUAUAAAAACUACAGAAACUGAGGGGUCAUAAUUGGUUGCAGUGUCAAAUAGCUUCCACUUGUGAUUCAAUCGAAACAUCCAAGACGAUUUAGGACUCUAUUUCAUUGCAUCACAACACACACAAACUACAUUUAUCUAUCAAUUUCUCAUUACACACACACUAGAAAGUAGAAAGUCACGCACUAAACCCUAGUCACAGAAAGUCCCUCAACCCCCACAAAAUUUUCUUUACUCUGUACUUCCAAGAUUCGAUUUUUCCGAGAAAGUUUUGAUUUUCUUGGAAAAUUAAGACACCCAAUGGAGGAAAACGAAGCUCUGCCGGACGAUCUCCGGUGUAACAGAACUGACGGUCGACAAUGGCGGUGCAAGCGGCGGGUAGAGGAAGGGAAAAAGCUUUGUGAAAUUCAUUAUGUUCAAGGUCGUCACAGGCAGAUGAAGCAGAAGGUACCUGAAUCACUGAAAAUCGUGAGAAAUACGAAAAACAAGAAUCAAUCCAAGAUUAAGAAUCCAAAAAGGUCUCUUGAAAUUGGGUUUUCAAAGAGUGAAAGGGCGUUGAGAAUUUUGAAGAAAAGGAAACCCCUCAAGCAUAAACCCUGUGUUUCAGAGGCGUUAGAUGAAGCUUUGAGGAGAAUGGAGUUGAAAAGAGGCGAUUUGCCGUUAGAAUUGAUUCGUGUUUUCUUGAAACGGCAAUUAGAGAAGAAAAAUGAGAAGGAAUCGAAGAAUGCUAGUGCUGAGGUGAUGAGAGAAUUCCCUAAUGCUUUAAUGGCUAUUCCUAUUAUACCUGCAAAGAAUUUUAACAAUGCAGGUUCUGUUUUAGACGUAAAAUUAGGCCUGGAUUCCAGCUCUAACCCCUUUUCGUUAAGGCGUUUCAGAUCAAAAAAUAUUGAACCCCUUCCAAUUAGUACAAUGCAGGCAUUGCCAUUUGCUAGGAAUGUGAAGAAUAUAAGUAAAGUAAAGAGAAGAAGGUUGUGUCAUUGGUGUAGGAGAAGUAGCUACCGGGUCCUGAUCAAGUGUUCGAGUUGUAAAAAACAGUACUUCUGUCUGGAUUGUAUUAAAGAAAGGAAUUUGGAACAGCAAGAAAUUAGGGUGAAAUGUCCCAUUUGCCGUAGAGAUUGUAGCUGUAGGAUCUGCAAAAGGAGUGAAUUGAAGCCCAACAGUCAUAAGGAAUCCUCAAGGCAUAAAAGGAAGGUUCCAAAAGUCCAACUACUUUAUUAUCUGGUCCACCAGCUUCUACCGAUACUGGAAAAAAUAAAUGAAGAGCAGAGAAUUGAAGUAGAGAUAGAAGCAAAUAUAUCAGGAAAGGGGGAAUCUGACAUUCAGAUUCAGCAGGCUUCAGCAGGAGAUGGAAAAUUAUAUCACUGUAGUAACUGCAACACCUCCAUCCUGGAUUACCACAGAAUCUGCUCUAAGUGUUCAUAUAGCCUUUGCUUAUAUUGCUGUCGGGAUUCCCGUCAUGGAAGCUUAACUGAAGAUUGUAAGUCCGAAGGUUCCAAUGAAGAACAAGCUUGUUCUUCUAACUUUGAGCGACAAUCAAGGAUGAAUUAUACUAGCACCUCAAGGCAAAGUUUCUCGGGGAUACAUUACCCAUCUUCCAGGUCAUGCUCCAACUAUCAAGCUUGUGCUGAUGGCAGCAUAUCUUGCCCCCCUGCAGAAUAUGGCGGUUGUAGUGAUAGCUUCCUGGAUUUAAGAUGUGUAUUUCCCCACCCUUGGAUCAAGGAGCUGGAAAUCAGCGCUGACGCAAUAUUAUGCAGUUACAACAUUCAGGACACAGAACACGAUUUUUCAUCAUGCUCACUAUGCAGGGGAAGCGAUCAUAAAGAUGCUGUUGCUAAUUCAUUCAUCAAAGUAGCCGAGAGACAAAAUUCGAGGGAUAAGUUUCUGUAUUGUCCAUCUAUAAAGAAUAUCCGUGAGGAAAACCUUGAACACUUUCAGAAACACUGGGGUGAAGGUCAUCCUAUUAUAGUACGGAAUGUGCUUCGGAAUUCUUCUGAUUUGUCUUGGGAUCCGGUUGUUAUGUUCAGCACUUACCUUGAGAAAAGGUCAAAAUGUUCCUUGGAUAAAGAAACAGCCAAGGCACAAAAUCACUCGGACUGGUGUGAGGUUGAAAUAGCUAGAAAACAGAUAUUUAUGGGGUCACUUGAAUGGCAAACACAUGCAACAAUGCAGCGUGAAAUAGUAAAAUUCAGAGCAUGGCUUUCUUCCCAUUUAUUCCAAGAGCAGUUUCCUGCUCACCAUGCUGAGAUCUUGCGGGCUUUACCACUUCAAGAGUAUAUGAAUCCAAAAUCUGGUCUUCUAAAUCUAGCAGUUAAAUUGCCACCGGAAAUGCCACAAACUGAUUUAGGACCUUCAAUCUAUAUUUCCUAUGGUGGGCCUGAAGAACUAUUGCAAGCAGAAUUUAUCACUAACCUAUGUUGUGAAUCAUAUGAUAUGGUUAAUAUUCUUGCAAGUGCUACUGAUGUUCUUGCUUCCAAGGAACAAGUAAGAAAAAUAAAAUGUUUAAUGAAAAAUAAGAAGCCUCAAGAUCACAAGGAAAUUACCAGCCAUUUCAGUGAUCAGAAAGGAAAAUCAUCUCUGCAUAGUGGAGACACAGAAGAAUCCGAUCUGCAGGAUGCAACUGGAGAGCAGUUGCCUGAUGGUAUUGCUGAAGUACCUUUCUACUCUAGUGACUCACAAAAAGGUCAAAGGUAUGAAGACCGAGAUAGCAAUAUCUCCAGUGACAAUGAAAAUGACUCUGAAUCUGAGUCUGAUGUCUCACUGUUCUGCUCUGGAUCUGUUGAAAGGUCUGAAGAUUCAGACAGUGAUUAUUUUUUUGAAGAUGUUGAUGGUGCCAAGAAAGAAGCAAAACCCUCAGGUGCUCAAUGGGACGUUUUCAGCAGACAAGAUGUCCCAAAGCUUCUAGAGUACCUCAAAAGGCAUUCUAGCGAGUUCACCUCCAUGCGUGGUUAUUCCAAACAAGUUGUUCACCCAAUACUUGAUCAAAGCUUCUUCUUUGAUGCAUUCCACAAAUUGAGGCUUAAAGAGGAAUUCGAUGUUCAACCUUGGACUUUUGAACAACAUCUUGGAGAAGCUAUUAUCAUCCCCGCUGGAUGUCCAUAUCAAGUCAAACAACUUAAGUGUUGUUAAAGGUUCGGAUGAGAACGCUUAUGCCCCUGAAACUAGGUGCAAAGCGGCUGGCGCUUCGCGUUGCUUAGGUGGCACUUCAGUGCAGACACCAAGGCAAUACGUCAUGCAUCAACGUUGUUCUGCACUUCAUCUCGCCUGAAAAUGUUGCUGAAUGUAUCAACGCAACUGAUGAAAUUCGUCUACUUCCUGAGCACCACAAAGCCAGGGGAAAAAUGCUGGAG
This is an RNA transcript of Solanum stenotomum, 3400 nucleotides long. It is a transcript of the gene named lysine-specific demethylase JMJ25, with no coding region annotated. NCBI's taxonomy places the organism in Eukaryota, Viridiplantae, Streptophyta, Magnoliopsida, Solanales, Solanaceae. The transcript is spliced from 12 exons. The record is from RefSeq and is a predicted model, not a curated record.